This 114-nucleotide small nuclear RNA is filed under the name Cucumis sativus (cucumber). The record is from RNAcentral. Lineage: Eukaryota; Viridiplantae; Streptophyta; Magnoliopsida; Cucurbitales; Cucurbitaceae.
GUAUCUGUUCGAGGACAUACCCAGUAAAAUUAGAACGAUAUAGAGAAGAUUAGCAUGGGUUUUGCAGGAAGAAUGACACUCACAAAUGAAGAAAUGAUCGAUCCACAAGAUUAU